This 2260-nucleotide long non-coding RNA is filed under the name Homo sapiens (human). RNAcentral's name for it is "non-protein coding lnc-MTMR9-3:1". The record is from RNAcentral. Lineage: Eukaryota; Metazoa; Chordata; Mammalia; Primates; Hominidae.
GGGGGGGAGGGACGGCGGGGGGGGGGGGAAGAAGGCAGGGAACGGGGAGGGGGGGAAACGAAUGGAGAGGAAGGGGGGCGGGGAGGAAGCGGGGGAGCAAACGAACGAGGGGGGAGUGGGCCAGGGAACCCCCUCCGCUUCCGGGUAGUUGGCGUCACUUCCGGGCGAGCCCCCCAAUCGCACGGCGCCCGCAGCUCCCCAGCCCUACCCUCCCGGCCAAGAUGGCCGCCCUCCUGUGCCUCAGCUGCUGGGCGGGGGACCGGGGGGUUCUCCCCGCCAGGGCUCCCCUUCCCCUCUUCCGUUGACCCCGAAACCCAUCAGGUUGACCCCUCGGCGUUUCAGAAUCCGGCUGGCCCGAGUGAGGCGGUCCAAAGUGAUCCCUGGAGGGGGCAGUGCCAGACGUUUUGGGGUCCCCUUCCUCAGCGUCGCAGCUCACAGCUUUCCUCCUGGAGAAACGCCCCCUAACACCCUCCCGGCUGCUGGUGGAGGGGCGGGACCUCUGAGGGAAGGGGCGGAGCUAGUGCAAAGCAGGUGAUUACGUGUCACUUCCGGGAGAUGGGAUGACCUCAUUGUGUAGUUAGACAACACCCCCCCCCAAUCAAAAUGUCUAUGUCUCACCUCUUUGGCUGUUUCUAUUUUCUUUUAAAUUUCUCUUAUUCUUCUCUUAUUUUGAGGGUCUUUAAAAAUUACAUAAGUCAGAUUUUCACAAUCAAGUUACUGAUUCUCACUUCCAUUUAGACACCUCUCCUCUUACCUCUGUUGACCUCCUGAUUUUCCUGUCACUGACAACUUAACCACCUUUUGUAAUAAAGUUUCCAUCAUUACCUUAAAAAAGCUUCAGGCAAAAUUCAAUUGGAAAUCAGCCUGGUUGGGUCUUACAUGUUGGAGCAAGGAAUGAAUGGGCAUAUUGUGACCUUGAAUAUAUUUUCUGCCCUAUGGAAAUAUAUUCUACCAACUUUUUUUUUAAUAUGCAAUUUUUAAAUUCUGUGAUCUUAAUUUGGAAAAUGCAGAACUAGCCAGGGCUUAACCUGUAUCAAUUAUUUGUUCAGGUUAUUUAAAUGUGUAAGGAGUGCCUUUUAGAAUUUUUUUGGUGCUAAGGCGCUGUGGGUAAACAUUGCUUUAAAUAAGGAAAAAAAUGUUAUCAAUGUGCUAUAUCAUUAAAGUAGGUGCAGGAUACACUACUUAAACUUAGCUAACAAAUUACAAAAGUGAAACAGCACUGAAUGGAUUUGAAUUACAAUGAUCUUCCAGUGAAAGUAUUUUUGAAGCCAGAUAGCCAAAAUAGGGCAAGCUACAUGGUUACAGUUGUUCCUGAUCAGAUGAAAUGAACAUUUUACAGUUAAAAAAAAGAAUGAGGGGGAAAAAAAUCCCUGAAUUUUCUCAUUGACUUCCCUAGAUUUUUGAACUCAUUUUUGUGAUUCUGUCUACUUCUCCAUUCACUAAAGUCUUCUAAUAAUGCCAAUAACUGUCUUUAGAAUGUUAAGAGUACAAAUUAGGUAAUAUUUAUAUGGCUGGAGGUUCUAUGGCAGAAAGGUGCGUUUGACAACUUCAAUAGUUACUUUGAUACUAUUGAAUACUAUGGCACCUAUGAGUUUUGGGAGUGGCAGGGUAGAUGGGGAUACUACAUUUUAGGACACAGCUUUUCAUGAGUAUAUAUGCCAGUGUGAAAUCUCUGAAGACUUUAGAAAAAUUACUAAUAGUGAAUUUUUACUCCCAUACAUUGGGAAGAGGGGAGUGAUUCCAAAAUCAACUUUUAGAAACCAGCCAUAUAACUGUAUCCAUGUAUUUCAUGCUAUGAUUUAAGCCUCAUACUCCCUAUGGUAUGUAAAACUCAUACUCAUAUGUAAGCCUCAUACUCCCUAUGGUAGUAAAACUUAAGGCCAGCAGGUAAAGAUUAUUUCUGCAUAUAGAUGGGAUUCUGUUUCUUUGCUGAAUUUGAAUGAAUAACACCUUACAUGGCAUAAAUAUAGAGUAGGAUUGCCCAGGUAUGAACCCCAAUUUCACUAAAAUAGUAACAUGAAUAAUGUGAGCAAGAUUACCUCUUCAAAUCUCAGUUUUCACCUUGAUAUAAUAGAAAUAACAACAGUGACUUUUCUGAAAAGUUGCUGGGCAGAGUAAAGGUGGUAAUCCUUUCAAGGAUCUCAAUAUGAUACCUGAUAGGCAGCUAAGCACUAGAGAGUAACUGCUAUUAUUAUUACUGUUGUUAUUAUUAUGUUUGCAUAAUACUGACAUGUUUCUACUUAAAUUCUAUCGCUGAGUG